CCGAGGGACCGGGCGAAGGCUGCGGGUCGUGCCUCAGCUGCUGCGCAUGCGUGUGUGGUGUUGGGUGAUGUCGGCGUUCUUCCUCUCCUUGUGUUUUCCGGCUCCUUGAUGCUCAAACUGUGCUGCAGGCACUUGUGGCAUCAGCAUCACCUGGGAACUAUUAGAAGUGUAGAGUUCCUGGUCCCAUUCCAGACCUGUUGAGCUAGAAUCUGCAUUCUCAGAUAAUUCCUGUUAUUGGAGUCAUGGUCUCAUGGAGAAAGGAAACUGGUUCCAAUUUAGUGUCAGUUCCAGGAUAAUCAUCCAGGGUAAUCACUUUCUCUGCCUGGCGGAGGAUGAUCCAUCUUGUGAAAGAUCAAAGAGUAAAUAUGUAGAAAGAUCUGAAGAACAUGUUGACAAGCUGGCUUGAAUCAUUUAAAUUAUUCGCACUUCUCUGUGGCUGGCAGAAGAACUUCUGCAAGCAAGAACAUAGCCGAAUGGCCCUAACAGUGAAAUAGAGUGACUCAGGAUUCCACAAAAGCUGAAGGAGAGUACACAGGACGAACACAUUUUCUGGAGGGAGCGGUAUUGGAAUCCCAAGGCGCUGGGCACGGCUCCUGAGGAAGAGACAGAACGUGAACGCGGGAGGGUCAGAGAGAGAGGGAGACACAGAAUCCGAAGCAGGCUCCAGACUCUGAGCUGUCAGCACAGAGCCCGACGCGGGGCUCAAACUUACGAACCGCAAGAUCAUGACCUGAGCCGAAGUCAGACGCCCAACCGACUGAGCCACCCAGGUGCCCCAUCCAUUUUAACAAAUAGAAGAGGAAUUAGAGUCUAACUGGUUCCCAGUAAUAGGGAUGGACCUAGUUUAUACUUUUAAAUUAUUUACAGCCUGCCAGCGCCCGUGGCUUUGGGUUAUUGAUGCUGCAAUAGUUCCAGUUGGUGACAGAAAGCCCUUUCCAGAAGACAGUGGCACUGUUAGCAGCAGAACUUGUGGCUGGCUCCUUCCAGCUCCCCCAAAUUUCUGGGGCACAGAGAAGCAUCACGCUGCCUUCAGCACAGCUCUUCCCUGGGAGAUGCUGGAGGGACAGUCUGCUGCCUUUGCCAGACUCAGGCCAUACUCUGCAAACUGGAGAGAUUCAAAGCUAGGGAGAUCUCCUGCUGCCUUGAGGACGCAAACUGCUGUGUCUGGAAAAGGCUGCCUGGCAGGGAAUAGCAGACAGCUUCUACGAGUUGGAAUGGCCCCCAGCUGAUGGCCAGCAAGAAGGCAAGGAACUGAAUCUUCCCAACAACCAGUGAACUUCGAAAAGGACUCCAAGCUUCAGAUCUCACCCAGAUGCCACCUGGGAGCCUGACUCCAGAGAGAUCUCCAUAAGGAAGCCAGAGACGCCUGAGCAGCCAUGGUGUGAGGCUUUUGGCCCUUGCCCAAAACUGGCGAUUUUACUUGUAGAAAUUGUACUUUAAAUUAAAGGCCUUUUGCUAGUCAAGGGAAAUAUCCAUAUCUGCACGUAUGCCAAGUGAAUCCGGAAAUUAAAACUGAUGUUUGGUGUUAGGGGAGCUCUGACUCGAGGGCAAAGAGAGAGAGGAUGCUUCUGAGACAUGCGAGGCCCUAAGACCAGCCUUUCGAGUUUGAGCUUCUGGCUCCCAGUGCUAAGGAUUUCCUGAUGGAAGGAUGUGUCACUGAGCCAACGAGGCCAGCAGGCUGCGACUCCUGAGCAAGGCAUCAGUUGCACAAGAGAACUUCCAGCUCUCCUAGCAGAUGCUGAAGACUCUGGUGGCACAAACUAACGGGUGUGGACCCUUCUCUACCUAGAGUAUGGUGUCAUACACCAUGGAGGACACCAAGAAGAUACAGUUGGGGGCAGAGGAGGAAGCAAGAAGACAGGUACAUCACAUGCCAAGAUUCUAACAAUUCGACAGAGAAAUGAUAUGUGCCACAAAGUGGCAGGGACUAUCCAAUAAGAAUCUCUGUAUCCAGGGGGCACCUGGGUGGCUCAGUCGGUGAAGCAUCUGACUCUUGAUUUUGGCUUAGGUCAUAAUCUCACUGUUCGUGAGUUCAAGCCGUGGGUUGGGCUCUGCGCUGACAGCGUGGAGCCUGCUUGGGAUUCUCUGUUUCCCUCUUUGUCUGUCUCUCCCUGAGCGCUCUCUCUCUCUCUCUCUCUCUCUCAAAAUAAAUCAAUAAAGUAAGAAAAAAAAGAAUCUCUUGGGGCACCUGGGUGGCUCAGUCCAUUAAGCAUCUGACUUUGGCUCAGGUCAUUGAUCUCACGGUUCGUGAGUUCAAGCCCCGCAUCGGGCUCUGCGCUGACAGCUCAGAGCCUGGAACCUGCUUCGGAUUCUAUGUCUCCCUCUGUCUCUCUGCCCCUCCCCUACUCACGCUC
This is a long non-coding RNA of Neofelis nebulosa (Clouded leopard), 2354 nucleotides long. RefSeq lists it as uncharacterized. The transcript has 7 exons. NCBI's taxonomy places the organism in Eukaryota, Metazoa, Chordata, Mammalia, Carnivora, Felidae. The record is from RefSeq and is a predicted model, not a curated record.